GUUUGUUCUUACUUUUUAGUUCCCUGAGGUGCAUUUUAGGAUUAUUUGAGAUCUUUCUGUUUUUUUUUUUUUUGAUGUAAGUGUUUAUUGCUGUGAACUUAUUUCUUAUCACUGCUUUUGCUAUAUCCCACAGAUCUUGGUAUUUUUUGUUUCACUUUUCAUUUGUUUGAAGAAAUUUUUUAUCUCAUGUUAAUUUCUUUCGUGACCCAGUGGUCAUUCAGGAGCAUGUUGUUCAGUUUCCAUGUAUUUGUACAGUUUCCCAAGUUCCUCUUGUUAUUGAUUUCUAGUUUUAUUCCUUUGUAGUCUGAAAAUAUACUUGAUAUGAUUUUAGUUUUUAAAAAUUUAUUAAGACUUGUUUUUUAUCCUAACAUGAUCCAUCCUGGAGAAUGUUUCUCGUGCUGAUGAGAAGAAUGUGUAUUCUGUAGCUAUUGGAUGGAAUGUUCUGUAAAUGUCUUUUAGGUCCAUUUGAUCUAGAGUGUAGCUUAACUCUGAUGUUUAUUGACUUUCUGUCUGCAUGAUCUGUCCAUUGCUGAAGGUGGCAUGUUUAAGCUCCCCACUAUAUUGUAUUGCAGCGAAUCUCCCUUUUAAAUGUAUUAAUAUUUGACUUAUAUAUUUGGAUGCUCUGGUGUUGGGUGCAUAUAUAUUUCAGCAAAACAUCAUCCUUUGUAUUAAGUUAACAUUAAUUUGGAUUUUAGAGUUUAUAUGGUUUUGUUUUUAUCUUUUAUGUAAGUUAAUUUUGGUUCUUCAGUUGUGUAAAAAUUACAAGGGAAAUGAAUUUAUAUAUAACUAGUUAAAACUGACACAUACAGGACACACAUUACAAUAAAAACAAUUUAAGUCAAUCCUGAAAAUGUAUGCAAAAAUAUUUUCAUUGGAAGGGUUAACAUAAUAAUUGUAUUUGAGAAGCACCACUUUUUACUAUUAUCAGUAACCGUCUGUUUAAAAAUUCACCAAAGUACCCUAUUGCAUAUAUUCUUUAUAUUCAGUCCAAACAGCCCUUCCAAUCCACACCCAAAAUCAUCUUAGUUUUUUCCUUCCUUUCAUCUACUUCCCCUCUGCUGAAGCCCCUGGAUCUUCUCCCCUGUGCCCUCAGGAACUCCUACUCCUCCAUAAAGACCCAGCUCAAGUGCUACUUCCUCUGUGAAGUCUUUCUGGAAUCCCCACAGGAUUUAAUGCGCCCACAAUGUAUCACUCAGGGCCUUGCAGGAAACACACCACACAUUCCAAUGGGUAGUUGAAGGACAUUACUAGAAAAGCAUUGUGACUUCUGAGAAACAGAUACGGGUUGUGGAAGAAGCUGAGGACACACUCAGUAUCCCACCUCACACUUUUCCUUUCCUUUUAUCUGCUACCAGGGUCCCCAUUGGCUGAACCUAACUAGAAGGCAAAGGGCAAAGAAAUCGUGAUGUUUAAUUUUAUGUGUCAACUUGACUGGGCUAAGGGAGUCCCGCAUAGCUGGUAAAACAUUAUUUCUCACUGUUUUACCAGAAACAGAAUAAGAAUGUUUCUGGAAAAGAUGAGUAUUUGAAUCCGUAAACUGAAUAGAAAAGGUCACCUUCACCAAUGCAGCUGGGCAUCAUCCAAUCUGUUGAUGGCCACAAUAGAACAAAAAGGCAGAGGAAGGAAGAAUUUGCGUUCUGCUUGAGCUGGGACUUGCAUCUUCUCUUGCCCUUGGACAUUGCACUUCUGGUUCUUAGGCCUUCAGAACUUGGACUAGGACUUACUCUCAGAGUUCUUAGGCCUUCGUGUAUGUGUGUGCAUAUAUAUAUAUUUAUUUAUUUAUAUUUAUAUAUGAGAGAGAGAGAGGGAUUAUACAUUGGUUUUUUCCAUAAAAGUUAUGCUGAGUUUGUCUGCCUUCCUGCCUUUUCUUCUACCUCCUCCACCUCUUCUUCUGCCUCUGCUACCUCUGAGACAGCAAGACCAGCUCUUCUUCUUCCUCUUCCUCCUCAGCCUACUCAACAUGAAGGCAACAAGGAUGAAGAUCCUUAUGAUGAUCCACUUCCACUUGAUGAAUAGAUAUAUCAGCACAACUUCUCUGCUCCAACUAGUCUACAUUGCAAAGCAUCUCCUAGUGUCUUUGGAAGAAGGAUCUAUGUGCCCUCAGAAUGAUAAUGAUAAGAACUAGAACUGUGAGGACUGCCAUGUGACUGUAUUCCUGAGCGAUACGCAGAAUCUUGUGAAAGACUACUAAAGUGACCAUGUUCCUUAGCGGUACUAGAGUCUGACUGUACAGGUGAAGACUGUACAUGACUGGCUGUAUCGCGGUGAGAGGAUCCGGGGUGUCUGGAGCCAUCUCUUGACUGCUCCUGAGAAGAUCCAUGACGGUUUCUGGAAGCAGACUCAGAUCGCCUCUCAGAGUCCUCUGGGUAUGCCUCACUGUCACUGUCCUGGCUAACACUGGAUCCCUGGCGCCUGCUUCUCCUGGACCCCGCUGAUUCGCCCUGGCCGGACUGUGAGUGUCUAGAGCUGUAGGCCUGAGUGGAAGCUUCAUGGUGACGUGACCCUGAGUGCCUGGAGCCGUCUCUUGACUGUUCCUCGUUACGUGUUUGUCUGCUUGCACUUCUGGAUCCUGACUGCCCAUGGGAGGCAUCAGACCUUCCCUGGGAUGUGGUGUGGCUGUGAUGGGACCCUGAGUGUCCAGACCUAUCUACCGAUUGCUCGUGGUAGGAUCCCUGUCUUCCUCCUCUCCUUGACCCCGGGUGUCCACGAAUGGUGUCCUGACCCUCUUGGGAUGCUGAGUGCCUGGAGCUGUCUCGUGCCUGCUCGUAGCGGGAUCCUUGUCUUCCUCCAGUGCUGGGCCCAGUCCGUCCGUGGGCAGACUCAGACUGUUCAUGAGUGCUCACCUGGUAGAGGAAAGACCCUGAACGUCCAGACCUUUCUGCUGACUGGCCACGUGUGGACUCUUGGUGGCUCUGCUGAUGGGGCCCAGCCUGUCCGUGGGCUGACACUGACUGUGUGUCUGAGUCUUCUGAAUGUCCCUCACUGUCACUGGCCUGACUACCACUGGACCCUCGGUGUCCACUGUCUCUGACUACAGAUGAAGCUUGUCCGUGCCCAAUGCCUGAGUGUCUGGAGCUGUCUGCUGACUGCUGGUGGUGGGAUCCAUGUCUCUCUCCUGCACUUGAUCUUGCCUGUUCAUGGGAUGAUGCAGCCUGUCCACGAGAGGAAUUCUCUGCGAGAUGAGUGCCUGCUUGUCUGGAGCUGUCUGCAGAGUGCCCGUGACCGGCUCUGUCUUCUUGAUGGGACCUGGGGUUCCUGGAGCCAUGCCUUGACUGCUCCCGAGCAGAUCCAUGAUGGUUUCUGGAAGCAGACCCAGACCACCUCUCAGAGUCUUCUGAGUGUCCCUGACUGUCACUGUCCUGGCUAACACUGGAUCCCUGGUUCCUGCUUGUCCUGGGCCCCGCUGAUUGUCCCUGGCCAGACUGUGAGUGUCUAGAGCUGUCGGCCUGAGUGGAAGCUUCAUGGUGAUGCAACCCUGAGUGCCUGGAGCCGUCUCCUGAUUGUUCGUCAUUACGAGUUUGUCUGCUUGCACUUCUGGAUCCUGACUGCCCACGGGAGGCAUCAGACCUUCCCUGGGAUGUGGUGUGGCUGUGAUGGGACCCUGAGUGUCCAGACCUAUCUACUGAUUGGCCGUGGUGGGAUCCCUGCCUUCCUCCUCUGCUUGUCCCCGGGUGUGCACGAAUGGUGUCCUGACCCUCUUGGGACGCUGAGUGCCUGGAGCUUUCUCGUGCCUGCUCGUGGUGGGAUCCUUGUCUUCCUCCAGUGCUGGUACCCGUCUGUCCAUGGGCGGACUCAGACUGUUCAUGAGUGCUCACCUGGUAGAGGAAAGACCCUGAACGUCCAGACCUUUCCGCUGACCGGCCACGUGUGGACUCUUGGUGGCUCUGCUGACGGGGCCCAGCCUGUCCGUGGGCUGACACUGACUGUGUGUCUGAGUCUUCUGAAUGUCCCUCACUGUCACUGGCCUGACUACCACUGGACCCUCGGUGUCCACUGUCUGUGACUGCAGAUGAAGCUUGUCCAUGCCCAAUGCCUGAGUGUCUGGAGCUGUCUGCUGACUGGAGCUGGUGGCGGGAUCCAUGUCUUUCUCCUGCACUUGAUCUUGCCUGUUCAUGGGAUGACGCAGCCUGUCCAUGAGAGGAAGACUCUGUGUGACGAGUGCCUGAUUGUCUGGAGCUGUCUGCAGAGUGCCCGUGACUGGCUCUGUCUUCUUGAUGGGACCUGGGGUUCCUGGAGCCAUGUCUUGACUGCUCCCGAGCAGAUCCAUAACGGUUUCUGGAAGCCGAGUCAGACUGCCUCUCAGAGUCUUCUGAGUGUCCCUGACUGUCCCUGUCCUGGUUAACACUGGAUCCCUGGUUCCUGCUUGUCCUGGGCCCCGAUGAUUGUCCCUGGCCCACCUGCGAGUGUCUAGAGCUGUCGGCCUGAGAGGAAGCUUCAUGGUGACGCGACCCUGAGUGCCUGGAGCCGUCUCGUGAUUGUUCCUCAUUUCGUGUUGUUCUGCUUGCACUUCUGGAUCCUGACUGCCCAUGGGAGGCAUCAGACCUUCCCUGUGACGUGGUGUGGCUGUGAUGAGACCCUGAGUGUCCAGACCUAUCUACCGAUUGCUCGUAGUGGGAUCCCUGCCUUCCUCCUCUGCUUGACCCCGGGUGUCCAUGAAUGGUGUCCUGACCCUCUUGGGAUGCUGAGUGCCUGGACUUGUCUCGUGCCUGCUCAUGGCGGGAUCUUUGUCUUCCUCCAGUGCUGGUCCCGGUCUGUCCAUGGGCGGACUCAGACUGUUCAUGAGAGCUCACCUGGUAGAGGAAAGACCCUGAACGUCCAGACCUUUCCCUUGACUGGGCACGUGUGGACUCUUGGUGGCUCUGCUGACGGGGCCCAGCCUGUCCGUGGGCUGACACUGACUGUGUGUCUGACUCUUCUGAGUGUCCCUCGCUGUCACUGGCCUGACUACCACUGGACCCUCGGUUUCUACUGUCUCUGACUACAGAUGAAGCUUGUCUGCGCCCAGUGCCUGAGUCUGUGGAGCUGUCUGCUGACUGCUGGUGUCGGGAUCCAUGUCUUUCUCCUGGACUUGACCUUGCCUGUUCCUGGGAUGAUGCAGCCUGUCCAUGAGAGGAAGUCUCUGUGUGACGAGUGCCUGAUUGUCUGGAGCUGUCUGCAGAGUGCCCGUGACUGGCUCUGUCUUCUUGAUGGGACCUGGGGUUCCUGGAGCCAUGUCUUGACUGCUCCCGAGCAGAUCCAUAAUGGUUUCUGGUAGCCGACUCAGACUGCCUCUCAGAGUCUUCUGAGUGUCCCUCACUGUCCCUGUACUGGCUAACACUGGAUCCUUGGCGCCUGCUUGUCCUGGACCCCUCUGAUUGUCCCUGGCCCGCCUGUGAGUGUCUAGAGCUGUCGGCAUGAGUGGAAGCUUCAUGGUGACGCGACCCUGAGUGCCUGGAGCCGUCUCCUGAUUGUUCCUUAUUACGUGUUGUUCUGCUUGCACUUCUGGAUCCUGACUGCCCAUGGGAGGCAUGAGAGCUUCCCUGGGAUGUUGUGUGGCUGUGAUGGGACCCUGAGUGUCCAGAGCUAUCUACCAAUUGCUGGUGGUGGUACCCCUGCCUUUCUCCUCUGCUUGACCCCGGGUGUCCACGAAUGGUGUCCUGACUGUCUUGGGAUGCUGAGUUCCUGGAGCUGUCUUGUGCCUGCUCAUGGCGGGAUCCUUGUCUUCCUCUGGUGCUGGGCCCUGUCCAUCCAUGGGAGGACUCAGACUGUUGAUGAGUGCUCACCUGGUAGAGGAAAGACCCUGAACGUCCAGACCUUCCCCCUGACCGGUCACGUGUGGACUCUUGGUGGCUCUGCUGAUGGGGCCCAGCCUGUCCAUGGCCUGACACUGACUGUGUGUCUGACUCUUCUGAAUGUCCCUCACUGUCACUGGCCUGACUACCACUGGACCCCCAGUGUCCACUGUCUGUGACUGCAGAUGAAGCUUGUCUGCGCCCAAUGCCUGAGUGUCUGGAGCUGUCUGCUGACUGCUGGUGGCGGGAUCCGUGUCUGUCUCCUGGACUUGAUCUUGCCUGUUCAUGGGAUGAUGCAGCCUGUCCACCAGAGGAAGUCUCUGUGUGAUGAGUGCCUGAUUGUCUGGAGCUGUCUGCAGAGUGCCCGUGACCGGCUCUGUCUUCUUGAUGGGACCUGGGGUGUCUGGAGCCGUGUCUUGACUGCUCCUGAGCAGAUCCACGAUGGUUUCUGGAAGCAGACCCAGACCACCUCUCAGAGUCUUCUGAGUGUCCCUGACUGUCACUGUCCUGGUUAACACUGGAUCCCUGGUUCCUGCUUGUCCUGGGCCCCGAUGAUUGUCCCUGGCCCACCUGCGAGUGUCUAGAGCUGUCGGCCCGAGAGGAAGCUUCAUGGUGACGCGACCCUGAGUGCCUGGAGCCAUCUCCUGAUUGUUCCUCAUUACGUGUUUGUCUGCUUGCACUUCUGGAUCCUGACUGCCCAUGGGAGGCAUCAGACCUUCCCUGGGAUGUGGUGUGGCUGUGAUGAGACCCUGAGUGUCCAGACCUAUCUACCGAUUGCUCGUAGUGAGAUCCCUGCCUUCCUCCUCUGCUUGACCCCGGGUGUCCAUGAAUGGUGUCCUGACCCUCUUGGGAUGCUGAGUGCCUGGACUUGUCUCGUGCCUGCUCAUGGCGGGAUCUUUGUCUUCCUCCAGUGCUGGUCCUGGUCUGUCCAUGGACGGACUCAGACUGUUCAUGAGAGCUCACCUGGUAGAGGAAAGACCCUGAACGUCCAGACCUUUCCCCUGACUGGGCACGUGUGGACUCUUGGUGGCUCUGCUGACGGGGCCCAGCCUGUCCGUGGGCUGACACUGACUGUGUGUCUGAGUCUUCUGAGUGUCCCUCGCUGUCACUGGCCUGACUACCACUGGACCCUCGGUUUCCACUGUCUCUGACUACAGAUGAAGCUUGUCUGCGCCCAGUGCCUGAGUCUGUGGAGCUGUCUGCUGACUGCUGGUGUCGGGAUCCAUGUCUUUCUCCUGCACUUGAUCUUGCCUGUUCAUGGGAUGAUGCAGCCUGUCCACGAGAGGAAGACUCUGUGUGACGAGUGCCUGAUUGUUUGGAGCUGUCUGCAGAGUGCCUGUGACUGGCUCUGUCUUCUUGGUGGGACCCAGGGUGUCUGGAGCCAUGUCUUGACUGCUCCCGAGCAGAUCCAUGAUGGUUUCUGGAAGCAGACCCAGACCACCUCUCAGAGUCUUCUGAGUGUCCCUGACUGUCACUGUCCUGGCUAACACUGGAUCCCUGGUGCCCGCUUGUCCUGGGCCCCGCUGAUUGUCCCUGGCCAGACUGUGAGUGUCUAGAGCUGUCGGCCUGAGUGGAAGCUUCAUGGUGAUGCGAACCUGAGUGCCUGGAGCCAUCUCCUGAUUGUUCAUCAUUACGAGUUUGUCUGCUUGCACUUCUGGAUCCUGACUGCCCAUGGGAGGCAUCAGACCUUCCCUGGGAUGUGGUGUGGCUGUGAUGGGACCCUGAGUGUUCAGACCUAUCUACCGAUUGCUCGUGGUGGGAUCCCUGCCUUCCUCCUCUGCCUGACCCCGGGUGUGCACGAAUGGUGUCCUGACCCUCUUGGGACGCUGAGUGCCUGGAACUGUCUCGUGCCUGCUCAUGGUGGGAUCCUUGUCUUCCUCCAGUGCUGGUACCGGUCCGCCCAUGGGCAGACUCAGACCGUUCAUGAGUGCUCACCUGGUAGAGGAAAGACCCUGAACGUCCAGACCUUCCCCCUGACCGGUCACGUGUGGACUCUUGGUGGCUCUGCUGAUGGGGCCCAGCCUGUCCAUGGCCUGACACUGACUGUGUGUCUGACUCUUCUGAAUGCCCCUCACUGUCACUGGCCUGACUACCACUGGACCCCCAGUGUCCACUGUCUGUGACUGCAGAUGAAGCUUGUCCACGCCCAAUGCCUGAGUGUCUGGAGCUGUCUGCUGACUGCUGGUGGCGGGAUCCGUGUCUGUCUCCUGGACUUGAUCUUGCCUGUUCAUGGGAUGAUGCAGCCUGUCCACCAGAGGAAGUCUCUGUGUGACGAGUGCCUGAUUGUCUGGAGCUGUCUGCAGAGUGCCCGUGACCGGCUCUGUCUUCUUGAUGGGACCUGGGGUGUCUGGAGCCGUGUCUUGACUGCUCCUGAGCAGAUCCACGAUGGUUUCUGGAAGCAGACCCAGACCACCUCUCAGAGUCUUCUGAGUGUCCCUGACUGUCACUGUCCUGGUUAACACUGGAUCCCUGGUUCCUGCUUGUCCUGGGCCCCGAUGAUUGUCCCUGGCCCACCUGCGAGUGUCUAGAGCUGUCGGCCCGAGAGGAAGCUUCAUGGUGACGCGACCCUGAGUGCCUGGAGCCAUCUCCUGAUUGUUCCUCAUUACGUGUUUGUCUGCUUGCACUUCUGGAUCCUGACUGCCCAUGGGAGGCAUCAGACCUUCCCUGGGAUGUGGUGUGGCUGUGAUGAGACCCUGAGUGUCCAGACCUAUCUACCGAUUGCUCGUAGUGGGAUCCCUGCCUUCCUCCUCUGCUUGACCCCGGGUGUCCAUGAAUGGUGUCCUGACCCUCUUGGGAUGCUGAGUGCCUGGACUUGUCUCGUGCCUGCUCAUGGCGGGAUCUUUGUCUUCCUCCAGUGCUGGUCCUGGUCUGUCCAUGGACGGACUCAGACUGUUCAUGAGAGCUCACCUGGUAGAGGAAAGACCCUGAACGUCCAGACCUUUCCCCUGACUGGGCACGUGUGGACUCUUGGUGGCUCUGCUGACGGGGCCCAGCCUGUCCGUGGGCUGACACUGACUGUGUGUCUGAGUCUUCUGAGUGUCCCUCGCUGUCACUGGCCUGACUACCACUGGACCCUCGGUUUCCACUGUCUCUGACUACAGAUGAAGCUUGUCUGCGCCCAGUGCCUGAGUCUGUGGAGCUGUCUGCUGACUGCUGGUGUCGGGAUCCAUGUCUUUCUCCUGCACUUGAUCUUGCCUGUUCAUGGGAUGAUGCAGCCUGUCCACGAGAGGAAGACUCUGUGUGACGAGUGCCUGAUUGUUUGGAGCUGUCUGCAGAGUGCCCGUGACUGGCUCUGUCUUCUUGGUGGGACCCAGGGUGUCUGGAGCCAUGUCUUGACUGCUCCCGAGCAGAUCCAUGAUGGUUUCUGGAAGCAGACCCAGACCACCUCUCAGAGUCUUCUGAGUGUCCCUGACUGUCACUGUCCUGGCUAACACUGGAUCCCUGGUGCCCGCUUGUCCUGGGCCCCGCUGAUUGUCCCUGGCCAGACUGUGAGUGUCUAGAGCUGUCGGCCUGAGUGGAAGCUUCAUGGUGAUGCGAACCUGAGUGCCUGGAGCCAUCUCCUGAUUGUUCGUCAUUACGAGUUUGUCUGCUUGCACUUCUGGAUCCUGACUGCCCAUGGGAGGCAUCAGACCUUCCCUGGGAUGUGGUGUGGCUGUGAUGGGACCCUGAGUGUCCAGACCUAUCUACCGAUUGCUCGUGGUGGGAUCCCUGCCUUCCUCCUCUGCCUGACCCCGGGUGUGCACGAAUGGUGUCCUGACCCUCUUGGGACGCUGAGUGCCUGGAACUGUCUCGUGCCUGCUCAUGGUGGGAUCCUUGUCUUCCUCCAGUGCUGGUACUGGUCCGCCCAUGGGCAGACUCAGACCGUUCAUGAGUGCUCACCUGGUAGAGGAAAGACCCUGAACGUCCAGACCUUCCCCCUGACCGGUCACGUGUGGACUCUUGGUGGCUCUGCUGAUGGGGCCCAGCCUGUCCAUGGCCUGACACUGACUGUGUGUCUGACUCUUCUGAAUGUCCCUCACUGUCACUGGCCUGACUACCACUGGACCCCCAGUGUCCACUGUCUGUGACUGCAGAUGAAGCUUGUCCACGCCCAAUGCCUGAGUGUCUGGAGCUGUCUGCUGACUGCUGGUGGCGGGAUCCGUGUCUGUCUCCUGGACUUGAUCUUGCCUGUUCAUGGGAUGAUGCAGCCUGUCCACCAGAGGAAGUCUCUGUGUGACGAGUGCCUGAUUGUCUGGAGCUGUCUGCAGAGUGCCCGUGACCGGCUCUGUCUUCUUGAUGGGACCUGGGGUGUCUGGAGCCGUGUCUUGACUGCUCCUGAGCAGAUCCACGAUGGUUUCUGGAAGCAGACCCAGACCACCUCUCAGAGUCUUCUGAGUGUCCCUGACUGUCACUGUCCUGGUUAACACUGGAUCCCUGGUUCCUGCUUGUCCUGGGCCCCGAUGAUUGUCCCUGGCCCACCUGCGAGUGUCUAGAGCUGUCGGCCCGAGAGGAAGCUUCAUGGUGACGCGACCCUGAGUGCCUGGAGCCAUCUCCUGAUUGUUCCUCAUUACGUGUUUGUCUGCUUGCACUUCUGGAUCCUGACUGCCCAUGGGAGGCAUCAGACCUUCCCUGGGAUGUGGUGUGGCUGUGAUGAGACCCUGAGUGUCCAGACCUAUCUACCGAUUGCUCGUAGUGGGAUCCCUGCCUUCCUCCUCUGCUUGACCCCGGGUGUCCAUGAAUGGUGUCCUGACCCUCUUGGGAUGCUGAGUGCCUGGACUUGUCUCGUGCCUGCUCAUGGCGGGAUCUUUGUCUUCCUCCAGUGCUGGUCCCGGUCUGUCCAUGGACGGACUCAGACUGUUCAUGAGAGCUCACCUGGUAGAGGAAAGACCCUGAACGUCCAGACCUUUCCCCUGACUGGGCACGUGUGGACUCUUGGUGGCUCUGCUGACGGGGCCCAGCCUGUCCGUGGGCUGACACUGACUGUGUGUCUGAGUCUUCUGAGUGUCCCUCGCUGUCACUGGCCUGACUACCACUGGACCCUCGGUUUCCACUGUCUCUGACUACAGAUGAAGCUUGUCUGUGCCCAGUGCCUGAGUCUGUGGAGCUGUCUGCUGACUGCUGGUGUCGGGAUCCAUGUCUUUCUCCUGGACUUGACCUUGCCUGUUCCUGGGAUGACGCAGCCUGUCCAUGAGAGGAAGUCUCUGUGUGACGAGUGCCUGAUUGUCUGGAGCUGUCUGCAGAGUGCCCGUGACUGGCUCUGUCUUCUUGAUGGGACCUGGGGUUCCUGGAGCCAUGUCUUGACUGCUCCCGAGCAGAUCCAUAAUGGUUUCUGGAAGCCGACUCAGACUGCCUCUCAGAGUCUUCUGAGUGUCCCUGACUGUCACUGUCCUGGCUAACACUGGAUCCCUGGCGCCUGCUUGUCCUGGACCCCUCUGAUUGUCCCUGGCCCGCCUGUGUUACAUGUGAACAAAGAUGUCGUAGACUAGUAAGGUGUCAAGAUUUGAUGGGGAUAUCCAGACAACUUGGAGCCAAGUCCCCACAGCUGGAUCAGACAACUUUUGGUGACAUCUCACAGUGUGGAUUAUCAAGCCAGUGUAUCAGUCUGGAGCCUAGGUUUUUUGCCUUUAGCUUUGCUCAGGAUGACUUCUGCUCUUCUAUGGCAAUACUUGAGAAGCUACAGCUUUGAUUAGACGAGAGGCUAUUUCAAUAACUUUCUCCUGAUAAGAAGACCACCGACCGUGGACGGAUUCUGGCCAGUUUACAAAGGCUGCAUACCAUUGGGCAGGGCACCCCACUAUGGUAAACACUAAUAAUGAUAUUGCUCCUGAUUUUGUUUCUGAAGGGAAUGCGUCUAUGAUUUCUUCAUUAAUUAUAAGAGACUGGGUCUCACUCUGUUGCCCAAGCUGGAGUACAGUGGCACCAUCAUAACUCACUGCAGCCUUCAACUUCUGGGCUCAAGUGAUUCUCCCACCUCAGCCUCCCAAGUAGCUGGGACAACAGGUGAAAUUGAAGGCCAGCUUUUGGAACUCAGCUUUCGAAGGAACUUAAAAUUUCCAUUAUGUAGAGUCCCUGAGGAAACUGGAUCCACUAGCUACACUGGCUGAGAAUGCUCUCACCCCACGAUUUCAUUUUUAUUUUACCACAUCACUGUUGGUAUCUUAAGAUCAAUGUACUGGAGCAGCGGGGUCUCACAAAGAGGAUACCUGGUGACACACCCAGGCUUUCAGAAUGCACUAUAGGGCUUUAGUGACUUGUCCAGGUUCAGCUGAAAUGUGCCAUCUGGGACCUACUAAUUCUUGUUGAACUUUACUGGAUCUCAGAAGCUGGGUCUCAGAAGCUCAGAUGUUCCCUGGAGCUACGAUAUCAACAACCUGUGAUGACAGAGAGAAGGUUGCUCCAUGAUGGAUUUGGAAACUUACUGGCUAGCUAAACCUGACUGAAUGGGAAGGAAUGUGGAUAGCUUUGGAACUCUAGUUUCACUAGAUGAGCUGGAAUUUGUAUUUUGACAAAUUAUGAUUAUUAAGUAAUGCAACUGAUUUUUUUCCCUUAAAACAAACAAUCUAGAGUCUGUGUAAUCAAAAUAAUUUCUCUAAAAGGCUGCAAGUAUAUGCUUAAAGUGUUGGGGCAUUCAGAGCAUUUGGAACAUUACAUUCUUUUGAAUGUCAAUUGGUAGAUGAAAAUACCAGCUUUUAAGUCAUACAUUUGAUUUUUUGAAACAUUAAUAUGCAUUUAGAGUUUGUAAGUCAAGUGAAUAACUGAUAAGGUAAAAAAAAAAAGGGGGAGUUCAUUGUUGAGUAUGAAUUUAAAGUAACCAGACUUCCUUUUGUCCAGUGGCUGUCAGUAAUUUACUUCAGCAGGCAUUUUUUUUUUUGAGGGGCUGUUCUAUGAUAUCAUGACCCUUCUUGUAGGAAUGUGCUUCCAGUGGUGAGGCAGUCUGAGAAUGUGUGAAGCAGUAUAAUGAAGUCAGACCAAGAUGGAAGCUUGGCCUGGGAUUUGAGCAUCAGGAAAACUGUUGAAGGGUUAUGUAUACAUCACAUACACACAUACACACACACACACACACAAACACACACACACACACACACUCUCUUCCAUACUCCUAUAACAAUGUAUAGUAUUUACUACACCUGGUGACAGGUAUUUACUAUACAUUGUUGAAGAUCUAUAACAUGGAAUGCCUAGUGCUAAGUGCAGUGUCCUUAGUGAAAUUAUAUUGGUUUGGAAUUAUUUAUGAGUUUGGGAUUAUUUGUCACUACCCUUAAAUGAUCUUGACACUCACCUAUUUGAAAAGAUAUUGAGGAUUUGCCAUUUGAUAUUGACCAGGGUGUAUUGUGCACAAAUAUUGUGACUAUACAUCUGUCUGUCCUUAAAUCACUGUAAGUUUUAACUGGAAUAGAUUUGCUCCACAUUACUCGGUAGGGCUGAUAUUUCAUGCCUCAUGGAUGAGAAAAGAAUAGGCAAAAAUUAUAUCUCGGGCUGCCUCACACAUCUUUUAACAGGAUAAGGGAAAAAUAAAUAUAAGACCUAUGAGUUAUGGCAUCAGGCUUGAACUUUAUGAAUUAAACCAACAAUAUUAUUGAUUAUUGCAAUUAUCUAUGUUAAUUUCAUUUGUUCUCCUUUUAAAAAUUAAUUGUGUUUAUUUUACCUAUUGUGAAUAAAGUCACUCCUCCCAUGUGCUUA
Long non-coding RNA from Gorilla gorilla gorilla (western lowland gorilla), 13430 nucleotides. RefSeq lists it as uncharacterized. Lineage: Eukaryota; Metazoa; Chordata; Mammalia; Primates; Hominidae. The transcript has 9 exons. The record is from RefSeq and is a predicted model, not a curated record.